GUCUACAACCAUGCCACCCUGAACAAGCCUGAUCCCGUGUGAUCUCAGAAGCGAAGCAGGGUCAGGCCUGGUUAGUAUUUGGAUGGGAGACCACCUAAGAAGAUGAGGUGCUAUAGGCG
This is a non-coding RNA of Pteropus alecto (black flying fox), 119 nucleotides long. NCBI's taxonomy places the organism in Eukaryota, Metazoa, Chordata, Mammalia, Chiroptera, Pteropodidae. The record is from Rfam.